CCUACGGGAGGCAGCAGUGGGGAAUAUUGCACAAUGGGGGAAACCCUGAUGCAGCGACGCCGCGUGAGUGAAGAAGUAAUUCGUUAUGUAAAGCUCUAUCAGCAGGGAAGAAAAUGACGGUACCUGUGUAAGAAGCCCCGGCUAACUACGUGCCAGCAGCCGCGGUAAUACGUAGGGGGCAAGCGUUAUCGGGAUUUACGGGGUGUAAAGGGAGCGUAGACGGCAGUGCAAGUCUGGAGUGAAAGGCGGGGGCUCAACCCCCGGACUGCUCUGGAAACUGUACGGCUGGAGUGCAGGAGAGGUAAGUGGAAGUCCUAGUGUAGCGGUGAAAUGCGUAGAUAUUAGGAGGAACACCAGUGGCGAAGGCGGCUUACUGGACUGUAACUGACGUUGAGGCUCGAAAGCGUGGGGAGCAAACAGGAUUAGAUACCCCUGUAGUC
This 440-nucleotide ribosomal RNA is filed under the name uncultured bacterium. Its description in RNAcentral is "partial 16S ribosomal RNA". It matches the Rfam family "Bacterial small subunit ribosomal RNA", at positions 338 to 795 of the family's 1533-position model. The record is from RNAcentral.